UACGUAGGGACCGAGCGUUGUCCGGAUUCAUUGGGCGUAAAGAGCUCGUAGGCGGCCACUCAAGUCGAAUGUGAAACCUCGAGGCUUAACCUCGAGCCUGCAUUCGAUACUGGGCGGCUAGAGUCUGGUAGGGGGAUCUGGAAUUCCUGGUGUAGCGGUGGAAUGCGCAGAUAUCAGGAGGAACACCGGUGGCGAAGGCGGCCUUCUGGACAGUGACUGACGCUGAGACGCGAAAGCGUGGGGAGCAGACAGG
Molecule: ribosomal RNA, 253 nt
Filed under: uncultured bacterium
Lineage: Bacteria
Description: partial 16S ribosomal RNA
Rfam family: Bacterial small subunit ribosomal RNA
Source: RNAcentral